RNAcentral lists this ribosomal RNA (253 nucleotides) under uncultured bacterium. RNAcentral describes it as "partial 16S ribosomal RNA". It matches the Rfam family "Bacterial small subunit ribosomal RNA", at positions 524 to 776 of the family's 1533-position model. The record is from RNAcentral.
UACAGAGGUCCCAAGCGUUGUUCGGAUUCAUUGGGCGUAAAGGGUGCGUAGGCGGCGCGGUAAGUCGGGUGUGAAAUCUCGGAGCUUAACUCCGAAACUGCAUUCGAUACUGCCGUGCUUGAGGACUGGAGAGGAGACUGGAAUUCAUGGUGUAGCAGUGAAAUGCGUAGAGAUCAUGAGGAAGACCAGUGGCGAAGGCGGGUCUCUGGACAGUUCCUGACGCUGAGGCACGAAGGCCAGGGGAGCAAACGGG